UACGUAGGGUCCGAGCGUUGUCCGGAAUUAUUGGGCGUAAAGAGCUCGUAGGCGGUUUGUCGCGUCUGCUGUGAAAUCCCGAGGCUCAACCUCGGGUCUGCAGUGGGUACGGGCAGACUGGAGUGCGGUAGGGGAGACUGGAAUUCCUGGUGUAGCGGUGAAAUGCGCAGAUAUCAGGAGGAACACCGGUGGCGAAGGCGGGUCUCUGGACCGAUACUGACGCUGAGGCGCGAAAGCGUGGGGAGCAAACAGG
This 253-nucleotide ribosomal RNA is filed under the name uncultured bacterium. RNAcentral describes it as "partial 16S ribosomal RNA". It matches the Rfam family "Bacterial small subunit ribosomal RNA", at positions 524 to 776 of the family's 1533-position model. The record is from RNAcentral.